UGGCGGACGGGUGAGUAAUGUCUGGGAAACUGCCUGAUGGAGGGGGAUAACUACUGGAAACGGUAGCUAAUACCGCAUAAUGUCGCAAGACCAAAGAGGGGGACCUUCGGGCCUCUUGCCAUCGGAUGUGCCCAGAUGGGAUUAGCUAGUAGGUGGGGUAACGGCUCACCUAGGCGACGAUCCCUAGCUGGUCUGAGAGGAUGACCAGCCACACUGGAACUGAGACACGGUCCAGACUCCUACGGGAGGCAGCAUG
RNAcentral lists this ribosomal RNA (256 nucleotides) under uncultured bacterium. Its description in RNAcentral is "partial 16S ribosomal RNA". It matches the Rfam family "Bacterial small subunit ribosomal RNA", at positions 96 to 353 of the family's 1533-position model. The record is from RNAcentral.